GGAGAGGUGACAGAGUGGUCGAUUGUGCAGCACUGGAAAUGCUGUGUACGGGCAACCGUACCGCGGGUUCGAAUCCCGCCCUCUCCG
Molecule: transfer RNA, 87 nt
Filed under: Planctomycetota bacterium
Lineage: Bacteria; Pseudomonadati; Planctomycetota
Description: Planctomycetes bacterium (bioreactor metagenome) tRNA-Ser
Rfam family: tRNA
About the family: Transfer RNA (tRNA) molecules are approximately 80 nucleotides in length. Their secondary structure includes four short double-helical elements and three loops (D, anti-codon, and T loops).
Source: RNAcentral